CGGAACGGGUGAGUAAUGCGUGACCAACCUGCCCCAUGCUCCAGAAUAGCUCUUGGAAACGGGUGGUAAUGCUGGAUGCUCCAACUUGACGCAUGUCUUGUUGGGAAAGUGUUUAGUGGCAUGGGAUGGGGUCGCGUCCUAUCAGCUUGUAGGCGGGGUAAUGGCCCACCUAGGCUUCGACGGGUAGCCGGCCUGAGAGGGCGGACGGCCACAUUGGGACUGAGAUACGGCCCAGACUCCUACGGAGGCAGCAGUA
RNAcentral lists this ribosomal RNA (256 nucleotides) under uncultured Gardnerella sp. RNAcentral's name for it is "partial 16S ribosomal RNA". It matches the Rfam family "Bacterial small subunit ribosomal RNA", at positions 98 to 355 of the family's 1533-position model. The record is from RNAcentral. Lineage: Bacteria; Bacillati; Actinomycetota; Actinomycetes; Bifidobacteriales; Bifidobacteriaceae.